Molecule: ribosomal RNA, 425 nt
Filed under: Verrucomicrobiota bacterium
Lineage: Bacteria; Pseudomonadati; Verrucomicrobiota
Description: Verrucomicrobia bacterium partial 16S ribosomal RNA
Rfam family: Bacterial small subunit ribosomal RNA
Source: RNAcentral
UGAGGAAUAUUGGUCAAUGGGCGAGAGCCUGAACCAGCCACGUCGCGUGAAGGAAGACUGACCUUACGGUUUGUAAACUUCUUUUGUAGAGGGGUAAUGGCAGAUACGUGUAUUUGCGUGAAAGUACUCUACGAAUAAGCAUCGGCUAACUCCGUGCCAGCAGCCGCGGUAAUACGGGGGAUGCGAGCGUUAUCCGGAAUUAUUGGGCGUAAAGCGCGCGCAGGUGGUUUAGAAAGUCUGAUGUGAAAGCCCACGGCUCAACCGUGGAGGGUCAUUGGAAACUAAUAAACUUGAGUGCAGGAGAGAAAAGUGGAAUUCCUAGUGUAGCGGUGAAAUGCGUAGAGAUUAGGAGGAACACCGGUGGCGAAAGCGGCUUUUUGGCCUGCAACUGACACUGAGGCGCGAAAGCGUGGGGAGCAAACAGG